Molecule: long non-coding RNA, 688 nt
Organism: Contarinia nasturtii (swede midge)
Lineage: Eukaryota; Metazoa; Arthropoda; Insecta; Diptera; Cecidomyiidae
Exons: 3
Source: RefSeq, a predicted model, not a curated record
AUGCUUAUAUUUCAAUUUGUUAUUGUUAGCGUGUCUAUUUCCAGUCCUGUGUUUUUUUGAAAUUGAUUGGUAUUCAUUUUGAUAACAACGUUUCAUCUCAAAUACAUCGUGUUGAAACAGUAUAUAAUACAGAAUAUAACUAAAAAAUAGUUGCAAUAGCAAUAUAAAUGGAAAACAUAAAGAAUUUCGUGAACGGUAUAACGGGAGCACAAACGACUACCAUGCAAAUUCCAAGAGUGGAUACAAACCCAACGACGAGCAGAUAUUUUGGUAAAGUGGAAACAACACGAACUCGAACAGAAAGUGAAAGCAGCAAUGCAUCAAUGUCAUCAAAUGGUUCCCAAAAGGAUAAAUUUUCAGAUUUUUGGGUCAUUUGGCAUUCCUGAGACUUCCCCAAGCCAUUCCAGAUUAUCGUAAAUUUAAGAUUAUAGGAGUCCCGAAGUGAAUAUGCGUUUAUAUCGAAAAGAACGUUUGAAUCAUUGUUGAUGAACAGUACUCGAAAUUCUACUGAAUUGCAAAUAUGAAAAAUAUGUUCGAAGGUCAUGAAAUGCCAAUUUGGAUUGAUGUUUUGUGGUUUACAGUCGUAUUAGUUAUGAGUCCGGUUAUGUUUUUAUUCACUAUAAUAAUAAGUGAAUUGCCAGUUUUUUUACUUCGUAUGAUCCGGUCAGAAAUGAAUUCGAUUUAAAUU